RNAcentral lists this ribosomal RNA (369 nucleotides) under uncultured bacterium. RNAcentral describes it as "bacterial SSU rRNA". It matches the Rfam family "Bacterial small subunit ribosomal RNA", at positions 525 to 896 of the family's 1533-position model. The record is from RNAcentral.
ACGUAGGAUCCGAGCGUUGUCCGGAUUUAUUGGGUGUAAAGGGAGCGCAGGCGGGUCUAUAAGUCGAGGGUGAAAUCUUACAGCUUAACUGUAAAACUGCCUUCGAUACUGUAGAUCUUGAGUGUAGGAAAGGGCGAUGGAAUUCAUGGUGUAGCGGUGAAAUGCGUAGAUAUCAUGAAGAACACCAGUUGCGAAGGCGGUCGCCUAGCCUAUCACUGACGCUCAUGCUCGAAAGUGUGGGGAGCAAACAGGAUUAGAUACCCUGGUAGUCCACACCUUAAACGAUGAAUACUCGGUGUCGGGUCGUGAGACUCGGUGCCAAAGCUAACGCAUUAAGUAUUCCACCUGGGGAGUACGAUCGCAAGGUUG